GUUGUGGCUCAGUGAUAGAGUGCUUGCCUAGCAUGUGAGAGGCACUGGGUUCAAUUCUCAGCAUUACA
Molecule: transfer RNA, 68 nt
Filed under: Marmota monax (woodchuck)
Lineage: Eukaryota; Metazoa; Chordata; Mammalia; Rodentia; Sciuridae
Description: tRNA.Ala
Rfam family: tRNA (bases 3-63)
About the family: Transfer RNA (tRNA) molecules are approximately 80 nucleotides in length.
Source: RNAcentral